CUCGCAGAUGACGCUGGCGGCGUGCUAAUACAUGCAAGUCGAACGCUUUGUGGUUCAACUGAUUUGAAGAGCUUGCUCAGAUAUGACGAUGGACAUUGCAAAGAGUGGCGAACGGGUGAGUAACACGUGGGAAACAUACCUCUUAGCAGGGGAUAACAUUUGGAAACAGAUGCUAAUACCGUAUAACAAUAGCAACCGCAUGGUUGCUACUUAAAAGAUGGUUCUGCUAUCACUAAGAGAUGGUCCCGCGGUGCAUUAGUUAGUUGGUGAGGUAAUGGCUCACCAAGACGAUGAUGCAUAGCCGAGUUGAGAGACUGAUCGGCCACAAUGGGACUGAGACACGGCCCAUACUCCUACGGGAGGCAGCAGUAGGGAAUCUUCCACAAUGGGCGAAAGCCUGAUGGAGCAACGCCGCGUGUGUGAUGAAGGGUUUCGGCUCGUAAAACACUGUUGUAAGAGAAGAAUGACAUUGAGAGUAACUGUUCAAUGUGUGACGGUAUCUUACCAGAAAGGAACGGCUAAAUACGUGCCAGCAGCCGCGGUAAUACGUAUGUUCCAAGCGUUAUCCGGAUUUAUUGGGCGUAAAGCGAGCGCAGACGGUUAUUUAAGUCUGAAGUGAAAGCCCUCAGCUCAACUGAGGAAUUGCUUUGGAAACUGGAUGACUUGAGUGCAGUAGAGGAAAGUGGAACUCCAUGUGUAGCGGUGAAAUGCGUAGAUAUAUGGAAGAACACCAGUGGCGAAGGCGGCUUUCUGGACUGUAACUGACGUUGAGGCUCGAAAGUGUGGGUAGCAAACAGGAUUAGAUACCCUGGUAGUCCACACCGUAAACGAUGAGUGCUAGGUGUUUGAGGGUUUCCGCCCUUAAGUGCCGCAGCUAACGCAUAAGCACUCCGC
RNAcentral lists this ribosomal RNA (894 nucleotides) under Weissella cibaria. Its description in RNAcentral is "bacterial SSU rRNA". It matches the Rfam family "Bacterial small subunit ribosomal RNA", at positions 21 to 872 of the family's 1533-position model. The record is from RNAcentral. Lineage: Bacteria; Bacillati; Bacillota; Bacilli; Lactobacillales; Lactobacillaceae.